GAGGGGAGGGAGCCUGAGGCAAUCACCUGGAUGUGUCCCAUGACUCAGGAGGAAUCUGACUUUUCCUGGCUGAACCUAGAAAAGGACACUGUUGCAGCCAAAGCUGACAGCUUCCCAAACACUGAGUUAACUCCAGCAACGUGUGUGUCAAACCUCAUUAUCUAUGUGGACAUUCCUGGAAAGUAUACUGCCAAGGUAGAUGACUGUCUUCCACAUGAAGGAUCAGGAGGACUCCGCCAAGAAUCGUGCUAGCAGUGACUAAGAAAGAGACUCCCCUGUGAUUGUCACAGAACAGCA
Phascolarctos cinereus (koala) is the source of this 297-nucleotide non-coding RNA. NCBI's taxonomy places the organism in Eukaryota, Metazoa, Chordata, Mammalia, Diprotodontia, Phascolarctidae. The record is from RefSeq and is a predicted model, not a curated record.